GCUUGUCUCAAAGAUUAAGCCAUGCAUGUCUAAGUAUAGUACCUUAUACUGCGAAACUGCGAAUGGCUCAUUAAAUCAGUUAUAAUUCAUUUGAUGGUACUUACUACUCGGAUAACCGUAGUAAUUCUAGAGCUAAUACAUGCGAAAAGUCCUGACUUCUUCGUGAGGGAGGGAUGUAUUUAUUAGAUACAAUCAAACGCACCAACAUAAAACCUUGGUGAUUCAUAAUAACUGUUCGGAUCGUAUGGCUUUUUGCCGACGACAGAUCAUUCAAAUUUCUGCCCUAUCAGCUUUCGACGGUACUGUAGUGGACUACCGUGGCAUUAACGGGUGACGGAGAAUUAGGGUUCGAUUCCGGAGAGGGAGCCUGAGAAAUGGCUACCACAUCCAAGGAAGGCAGCAGG
Molecule: ribosomal RNA, 404 nt
Filed under: uncultured eukaryote
Lineage: Eukaryota
Description: partial small subunit ribosomal RNA
Rfam family: Eukaryotic small subunit ribosomal RNA
Source: RNAcentral